UCGGAUCUUUCAAUUUACGCCGCGCGUGUAUACUUACGUAUAAUAAUAUGAUAUUAUUAAAUAUGAACGAUAUUUCGAUUAUACUUAUGCACGCGUAAAUAUUACUCACUCGGUCUGUUGUAUACUUUAAUUUUUACGCACGAAAUAAUCGCUUUUCUUUUCUUCCCUUUUAGUAUAAUUAUUUAAAUCUCCGUUUCGAGUGGCGGCAUUCGGAAAUAGAGUUUUACAGCGUACCGCGUAUAUAGGUUAUAAUUUAUUGUACGUAUACGUAUUAUAUCAUUAACGAAAAGACAACAACAGAAACAAUAGAACGAUAAAAUUAUAUAUAUUACGGACCUUUGUGUUCGCCUUUUCAUUACUCGUUGUUAUAAACCGAAAAGCUCAAGUGAAUACUGCGCCGCGACUCCUUUCAUCUUUCCAAGGUAGAUUAUUGUUAUUAAACAAUAUUUAGUAGUUCCCAAUCAUAAACACAGUAGACUAUCCGAACAAUGUCGAUUCAAAAGCUUGUUGUUAUUAUUAUUAUUAUUAUUAUUAUUAUUAUAUAAACAACAAUCGGUGUCUAUACUCGAAUCCGCCCUCGAAAUUCCUAAGUCGGUAUUUCAUAUAUAAAGUAUAAUAUUAUUAUUAUUAAACUAACUUUCGGGGCAAAAAUAGUUGCCCUCCCCCGUUUCCGUCGCGAAUUUCCAACCCACAUA
Cinara cedri is the source of this 695-nucleotide non-coding RNA. Lineage: Eukaryota; Metazoa; Arthropoda; Insecta; Hemiptera; Aphididae. The record is from the annotation of a GenBank genome assembly.